GUCCUUUUACCCGGCAGCCGCGCGCCGGUCGUGUUGUGUGUCUUGGGUUCUCUGUCUGCGGUGGUCCACUCCCAUCCUCCGCCAUACCCGGCCUUAGCCUGGCUGCCACGGGCGCCGCACCUGCCGGGGCUGCCUCUAGAGGCGGCGGGAUGUUGAGCACGGCAUGGAGGAUCCAGGCCUACUGGCCUAGUCGGGCCGAGAUCUGGAAGGCCGCGUGGUUCUCGGGCGCCGUGGAAGAAGCCGGACCCUGUAUGGGCCACGCCCUGCUCCUGCCGCGGCCCUCGCGGCCGUGUGCUCCGGUGUGACGGUUUCCAGAAUGUUCCAGUAGAUGAGUCCUGACGCACAGGAUUUAGGUGGCCCCAUUUUUUAACUGGCAGUGCCUGAUACUGAAGUAACUGAAAAUACCAGCUUGUUGCUGGAGCCGUGCUUUAGAAUAAGACCUGUUGCCAGUAAAGCUAUCUUCAUCUGUGUGGAUCUACAGAGUUGGGAGAGAAAAAGGCAAAUGAAGAGACAGGGGGCGCUUUCAGGUGGAAACAGCGGUUUUGUUUUGGUGAUGCUGCUACCUGGCAUAUAAAUGACCAAUAAAAGACUCACAGAUGGA
Budorcas taxicolor (takin) is the source of this 601-nucleotide long non-coding RNA. RefSeq lists it as uncharacterized. NCBI's taxonomy places the organism in Eukaryota, Metazoa, Chordata, Mammalia, Artiodactyla, Bovidae. The transcript is spliced from 5 exons. The record is from RefSeq and is a predicted model, not a curated record.